CAUUGAGAGGUCCUCUCUCUAAAAGGAGCAUUGAGAGGUCCUCUCUCUAAAAGGAGCAUUGAGAGGUCCUCUCUCUAAAAGGAGCAUUGAGAGGUCCUCUCUCUAAAAGGAGAACGGAGAGGUCCUCUCUCUAAAGGGAGCAUUGAGAGGUUAAGUUCUGCUCAUCUCCCUCUUCUCCCAAGCAUUCCUAGCUGUGGUGACACCGUGCCAAAGAGUAUAUGUUAUGUAAUAGCAUGACUGGUCAGAGGGGCAAGUCACUAAAAGCCCACAGGGCAGUCUUCAGGGCACAUCCUCAAGUGUAGAGUGUAGAGUGUGAAUGUGUGUUAGAGAGAAGAGAGAUGGUAUGAAUGUGUGUUAGAGAGAAGAGAGAUGGUAUGAAUGUGUGUUAGAGAGAAGAGAGAUGGUAUGAAUGUGUGUUAGAGAGAUGGUAUGAAUGUGUGUUAGAGAGAAGAGAGAUGGUAUGAAUGUGUGUUAGAGAGAAGAGAGAUGGUAUGAAUGUGUGUUAGAGAGAAGAGAGAUGGUAUGAAUGUGUGUUAGAGAGAUGUUAUGAAUUUGUGUUAGAGAGAAGAGAGAUGGUAUGAAUGUGUGUUAGAGAGAUGGUAUGAAGGUGUGUUAGAGAGAAGAGAGAUGGUAUGAAUGUGUCAGAGAGAAGAGAGAUGGUAUGGAUGUGUCAGAGAGAAGAGAGAUGGUAUGAAUGUGUGUUAGAGAGAUGGUAUGAAUGUGUCAGAGAGAAGAGAGAUGGUAUGAAUGUGUCAGAGAGAAGAGAGAUGGUAUGGAUGUGUCAGAGAGAAGAGAGAUGGUAUGAAUGUGUGUUAGAGAGAUGGUAUGAAUGUGUGUCAGAGAGAAGAGAGAUGGUAUGAAGGUGUGUUAGAGAGAAGAGAGAUGGUAUGAAGGUGUGUUAGAGAGAAGAGAGAUGGUAUGAAUGUGUGUUAGAGAGAAGAGAGAUGGUAUGAAUGU
Molecule: long non-coding RNA, 957 nt
Organism: Oncorhynchus tshawytscha (Chinook salmon)
Lineage: Eukaryota; Metazoa; Chordata; Actinopteri; Salmoniformes; Salmonidae
Source: Ensembl